GUGCAUUUGAAGUUACAACCAUACCGACAGCGGACUGUGGUUCGCCGUCCUUGUUACAAGUUG
RNAcentral lists this small RNA (63 nucleotides) under Arabidopsis thaliana (thale cress). RNAcentral's name for it is "ATSL043510". The record is from RNAcentral. Lineage: Eukaryota; Viridiplantae; Streptophyta; Magnoliopsida; Brassicales; Brassicaceae.